This 591-nucleotide ribosomal RNA is filed under the name Lodderomyces orthopsilosis. Its description in RNAcentral is "eukaryotic LSU rRNA". It matches the Rfam family "Eukaryotic large subunit ribosomal RNA", at positions 50 to 657 of the family's 3401-position model. The record is from RNAcentral. Lineage: Eukaryota; Fungi; Ascomycota; Pichiomycetes; Serinales; Debaryomycetaceae.
GCGGAGGAAAAGAAACCAACAGGGAUUGCCUUAGUAGCGGCGAGUGAAGCGGCAAAAGCUCAAAUUUGAAAUCUGGCACUUUCAGUGUCCGAGUUGUAAUUUGAAGAAGGUAUCUUUGGGUCUGGCUCUUGUCUAUGUUUCUUGGAACAGAACGUCACAGAGGGUGAGAAUCCCGUGCGAUGAGAUGUCCCAGACCUAUGUAAAGUUCCUUCGAAGAGUCGAGUUGUUUGGGAAUGCAGCUCUAAGUGGGUGGUAAAUUCCAUCUAAAGCUAAAUAUUGGCGAGAGACCGAUAGCGAACAAGUACAGUGAUGGAAAGAUGAAAAGAACUUUGAAAAGAGAGUGAAAAAGUACGUGAAAUUGUUGAAAGGGAAGGGCUUGAGAUCAGACUUGGUAUUUUGUAUGUUACUCUCUCGGGGGUGGCCUCUACAGUUUACCGGGCCAGCAUCAGUUUGGGCGGUAGGACAAUUGCAAAGAAAUGUGGCACUGCCUCGGUAGUGUGUUAUAGUCUUUGUCGAUACUGCCAGCCUAGACUGAGGACUGCGGCUUCGGCCUAGGAUGUUGGCAUAAUGAUCUUAAGUCGCCCGUCUUGA